GUCUGUGCGCAGCGGCGGUAUCGUAACCAAUGAGAUUUAUCCGAGGUGCGGUUAUUGCUAGUUGAAAACUUACAUCAAUACUCCGCCAGGAGGACUUGUAAUAUAGUUUACCUGGCAAUUUUGGAAGGCCCUACGGGGG
Molecule: small nuclear RNA, 139 nt
Organism: Thrips palmi
Lineage: Eukaryota; Metazoa; Arthropoda; Insecta; Thysanoptera; Thripidae
Product: U4 spliceosomal RNA
Exons: 1
Source: RefSeq, a predicted model, not a curated record